Molecule: unclassified non-coding RNA, 1481 nt
Filed under: Hevea brasiliensis (rubber tree)
Lineage: Eukaryota; Viridiplantae; Streptophyta; Magnoliopsida; Malpighiales; Euphorbiaceae
Source: RNAcentral
UUAGUAGGCUUGAAGUUCAUUUACGUACUCAUUUGGAUUUGGAGAAGGAAAGCAACAUGCCGUGGGCUUCUUCAUUUGUGAAUUACAGUCGGAACUGUAUUCGCCUGGUGGUUUUCUUUCGUGUCAUACUGUAAAUAAGAUCGCUUUGGUAAAUCCUUUUUGAUUGGUGAAGGAACUCUUAUAUCUAGUGCGGUUUCAAUUUAAAAGCGGUUUGAGGAGUGAGAAUGUACAUUGCGGUAACCAUAAAGAGGUAUCGAGCUGUGAAAGAAGUAGGGAAGAUUAAAAUGAUUGUUGGGAUUACUGCAUGUUACCAAGUGAUGCAAGUUUGUCAGGCUGAAUAUUUCCGCCAGUUGCUUAAGCCUGUUACGUAGUCUAGCAUUACUAAGCUCUGGGGAAUUGGGUUUUGGGACGAAUUGCCUCUGGUUGUGUUCAUACGUAAGAAGCCGAUGACAAAGAUGAACUAUUUGAUUCUGGUAGUUGUUCAUUUAGAAUAGACAGCUAUUUAUGCAGGAUGGCUAUAUGUGGAUUUGCUAUAUAGUGUUUUUCUCAGUUUAGAAACCUUCUUCGAAUUUGAAACCAAAUAACCACCAAUCCAAAGCCAAAAAAUCCAUCAUUUUGUUGACUUUUUCUAUCCAAAGUGGGCUUCUGAUGCAGAGUGACCAACGAUUUCAAGCCAAAAAGGCAGUGCCCCACGUUGCAAAUCAAAGGGGUAAUAGUUACAUGCAUAUUCCAGUUGCAUCUUCUUUUGCUGCAGCACUACCUCCCGCUGCAAAUCAUUUGAUGCCUGUUCAUGGCAUUGAAUUUCAACCUUCUGAGGUUUGCCCUCAAAACUUCAUUAUUUUCGAUCAGAAUCAUCAUCGAAGCCAAAUUAUGUUCCAUCCCACAGUUGCCCACAAAUUCAGUGGUUCUGGCUUAAAUAUGCAUACAAGUUACAUCCAAGAGAAUUUUUAUAGAAAAGAGAUCAAUGAUAUUGAAAGAGAAAUAUCUGCUUCUCUAAAGGAGGAUUCUGAAGAUAUUGAUAUGUUGUUGAGCUUAGAAGAGGAGGAACAAGAUGAAUAUGAUGAGGAAGAAGUCAGCACAGCUCGAACUUAUGGAAAUCAUGGAAGCAACUCACCUGAUUCUUGCUCAAGUUAUGGUUCCAAACCCAGGAAAACUGGAUCUUCUUUUCAGAAGUCCUCUGGAAGUUGUAGCAGCUGUAACAGUGAAAGGAAACAGCAGAAAAUGAAGAAAAUGGUGAAGGCACUAAGAGGAAUUGUGCCUGGUGCUGACCAAAUGAAUACUGUCACUGUUCUUGAUGAAGCAGUCAGGUAUCUAAAGUCUCUCAAAGUUGAAGUGCAGAAGCUUGGAGUUAGGAAUUUGAAGAAUUAAAAUUAAAAUUUCUGGUAUUGAACUCCAAGCUUCUGCACUUCAACUUUGAGAGACUUUAGAUACGCACCAAUUAGGUUCCCUCUUUCUUGGUGGGUUGGUAUUAGGAGAAUAAU